Long non-coding RNA from Lethenteron reissneri (Far Eastern brook lamprey), 2479 nucleotides. RefSeq lists it as uncharacterized. The record is from RefSeq and is a predicted model, not a curated record. Lineage: Eukaryota; Metazoa; Chordata; Hyperoartia; Petromyzontiformes; Petromyzontidae.
GCACGAACAUGUGGUGGUUGAAGAACUGCUGCAACUUCUCGUUGGUGAAGUUGAUGCAGAGCUGCUCAAAUGAGUUGAACUGCGCACACCGGCAGAAGGACACACGUACGGAGGGACAGAUGGAUGGGUGGCGUUGUUGGCGGUGGUGUCCUCACGUCGAAGAUCUCGAAGCCGGCGAUGUCCAGCACACCGAUGAAGUGCUGUCGCGGGGCCUUGGUCUCCAGCGACUGGUUGAUGCGCACGACCAUCCAGUUGAACAUCUUCUCGUACACGGACUUUGCCAGUGCACCGACAGAAUAGGACACCUGGCAGACGCAGCGGCGGCCGUCGGUGUGUACAGUGAAUGGGGGUUUCGCUUUCGUUGGAAGUCGCCACCAGGAGCCGCCCACCUGUUGCACGUUCUGACCCUUGGUCACGUACUCGUUGCCGACCUUGACCCUGGGAUGGCACAGGCCCUUGAUGAGGUCUGCCGAGUUGAGGCCCAUGAGGUACGACGCUUUGUCGGCGUCUGUCAACGGCAAAGAUCCCCCCCCACUACUGGAUGACACGUUUCGUGUUCACCGUUUUCCCCUGCGCCGGACUCGCCACUGUCCAUCACAGAGACGGACACAGGGAGAUGGACACAGACGGUUUUUGUGUACAUGCGUGCGCACACGUACCCGUGAGCAUGUACUGGUACGCGUUGUCGGAGAUGGAGAAGAUGUGUGGAGGGGCCUCCUGCCUCUUCUUGCCCCGCUCACUUGGCCAUCCGCUGUCUCCACGGUGUACUUGCCGCCGUCCACGCUCUGCACGAGGGCCUUGAUGAACUCGACCUUGGGGUGAUUGACGUAGACGUUCUUCUUCAUGUCGAAGGGCCGCGUCUGGGCCUCCAGCCGCUCAAUAUCCGACUUGCGCAGGAAGGGCGCCGCCUCCCCAAACUCCGACAGGCCGUUUGCCUGCCUGCCGCAUUUUGUAACGUCACCACUUGUUUACAAGCCAAGCAGAUGCCCUUCCCUCACCCUCCCAGUAACCCCUCCGGCCCCUCAGCAAGCUCACUGCAGCAACAGCUCACGCAAAGUGCGCCACAAUUUCUGGUUAGUACAUUGCAGUGUAAAAUGUUUGUUUCUAAUGACCUAAUUGCCUGUCUAGACCUUCACGAGAACUCUGGUCAUCCCCGCGGCAGCUUUUGGCUCACCAUCGAACAAAGACGGCCACUGCAUUUCGCGUUUUCAGAUGCGUUUCUGCGGCCGUCUGGAACGCUCUUCCAAUGUUAGGAAGCCCCUUGAGCUAUGCACUUUUAAGUCAUCUCGAUAAAAAAAAACUAAUUUCUAUAGAACUGCUUUUUGUGUUUAGUUUGUUGUCCUUCCCCCGCAGCUUCGAUUAUCACGGUUGGCUAUAUACAGUGCGAAAGAAGUUUAACAUACAUACUUAGGUAUUAUUUUUCAUAUUUAUGUGUUGUUUAAAAAUCUUAGUUGUGUUUAAAAGCGUUAUUUUAGUAGGUUUUGGGUAAUAACAAUCGAGGGAGAGAACUUGUAGCCCAUCUUCUUUGUCUUGUGUUUGCGAUUAAAAGUCAAUAUGCAAGCCACCCAGCCACUUGAUCACUACUUCAUCUAGAUCAAUCUGCUUUCUCAUUCUGCCUGUUAAUCUUUGUAUCUAUGUAUGUUGAACUUCUUUUGCACCAUACGUAGCCAACAGUUCUAAUCGGAGGUGCCGGGGAACAACAACACAUUAAGCACAUAAAGUAGUUCUAAAGAAAUUAGUUUUCGAUCUAUAUUUAAAAGUCAAUAGCUUCAGUGCUUGCCACAAAUGUGCAUUGUCGUUCUCUUCUAGCAUCAUGUGCACCUUUAGCAUGUGACCUGUUGUUCUCUUUUAGCCCCGCCCCCCCCCCCCAAUACGUUCCAUUCAUUGGCUACCACACUCAGAUAAGCUCCUCCCCCCCUUAACAAUGUAUUUACAACUUGUAUCUUGAAAUUUUAUGCCUCACUUGAUACAGUAAAUCUAUCUGUGAUGGUCCCACCUGAUGACGGAGACUUGUGUUGCCUCCGAAACGUCGUGAUUUAUUAUUUUAUUUUAUUUCUAUUAUUACUUCUAUUAAUUUUAUUUUUUUACCUACGUGACUUUACCGAAAAAAAUCUAAGAGUAUGAAUCGUUGCAGUCACGAAAGCUUCAAAUCUGGCUUCCUAAUAUCCGAAGGAAUAGCAUUCCAGACCGCUGCAGAAGCACAUCUGAAAGCGGGCGAUGCAGUGACCGCCUUUGUUCAGUGGCUUGCCAGAAGCCCCUUACGAGGAUGACCAGAGUUAAUUUGGUGGUUUAUGUUCUUUGACGAGAUCAGCAAGAUAUUGUGGUUCAUUUGCGGCAAGCACUUUGUGUGUAAUGAGUGCGAUCUUAUAAUAUAUUCGUUCGGCAACCGUUGCAGCCCGGCGGGCACUGGUCGGAUCUUGCAGUACCCGUCACGACACGUGCCAGAGAAUUUUGUACAUGCUGCAGCUUGCUAAUGUUU